RNAcentral lists this transfer RNA (72 nucleotides) under Ovis aries (sheep). It matches the Rfam family "tRNA". From Rfam's summary of the family: Transfer RNA (tRNA) molecules are approximately 80 nucleotides in length. Their secondary structure includes four short double-helical elements and three loops (D, anti-codon, and T loops). The record is from Rfam by way of RNAcentral. Lineage: Eukaryota; Metazoa; Chordata; Mammalia; Artiodactyla; Bovidae.
UCCCUAGUGGUCCAGUGGUUAAGACUUUGCCUUCCAAUGCAGGGGGUCUGGGUUCGAUUCCUAGCCAGGGAA